This 114-nucleotide small nucleolar RNA is filed under the name Echinops telfairi (small Madagascar hedgehog). RNAcentral's name for it is "Small nucleolar RNA SNORA61 (ENSETEG00000026871.1)". Lineage: Eukaryota; Metazoa; Chordata; Mammalia; Afrosoricida; Tenrecidae. The record is from RNAcentral.
GCCCUUUACCCAUCAGGUCUAACCACCAGCCUGAGUGGCUCUAAAAGGAGGGAAAGCACAAUUGAAACUGACUGCAAUUCUUGUGUGUGACACACGAGCUAGUUUUUAUCAAAC